GUUAGCCGAGACUUAUUCCUAUGCUACCGUCCUUGUCUCGUCACAUAGAAAAGAGCUUUACGACCCGAAGGCCUUCUUCGCUCACGCGGCGUCGCUGCAUCAGGCUUUCGCCCAUUGUGCAAUAUUCCUC
RNAcentral lists this ribosomal RNA (130 nucleotides) under uncultured bacterium. RNAcentral's name for it is "partial 16S ribosomal RNA". The record is from RNAcentral.